RNAcentral lists this ribosomal RNA (429 nucleotides) under Chloroflexota bacterium. RNAcentral describes it as "Chloroflexi bacterium partial 16S ribosomal RNA". It matches the Rfam family "Bacterial small subunit ribosomal RNA", at positions 355 to 776 of the family's 1533-position model. The record is from RNAcentral. Lineage: Bacteria; Bacillati; Chloroflexota.
UGGGGAAUAUUGCACAAUGGGCGCAAGCCUGAUGCAGCCAUGCCGCGUGUGUGAAGAAGGCCUUCGGGUUGUAAAGCACUUUCAGCGGGGAGGAAGGCGAUAAGGUUAAUAACCUUGUCGAUUGACGUUACCCGCAGAAGAAGCACCGGCUAACUCCGUGCCAGCAGCCGCGGGAAUACGGAGGGUGCAAGCGUUAAUCGGAAUUACUGGGCGUAAAGCGCACGCAGGCGGUCUGUCAAGUCGGAUGUGAAAUCCCCGGGCUCAACCUGGGAACUGCAUUCGAAACUGGCUGGCUUGAGUCUGGAAGAGGUAGGUAGAAUUCCAGGUGUAGCGGUGAAAUGCGUAGAGAUCUGGAGGAAUACCGGUGGCGAAGGCGGCCCCCUGGACAAAGACUGACGCUCAGGUGCGAAAGCGUGGGGAGCAAACAGG